Long non-coding RNA from Vidua macroura (Pin-tailed whydah), 538 nucleotides. RefSeq lists it as uncharacterized. The record is from RefSeq and is a predicted model, not a curated record. Lineage: Eukaryota; Metazoa; Chordata; Aves; Passeriformes; Viduidae. The transcript has 2 exons.
UCUGUGUCGCGGUUCGCGACCGGCAGCUGCCAACGCCGGAGCGGUUCGCGAUGCUCCGCGCGCCGCUGGGGCGCCUCGGGAGGAGGAGGGAGGAGUGAGCUGAACCUCUCGACAUCCCCGAUGAAUGGGAGAACAAUCCUAAACAGAUUAUGCGUCUUCGUGAAAGACGACGGCUUGUUUUACUAUGGUUCUCAGGCAUAAAUGCUCCCAGCGUUUCUCAAGGUGUUGCAUCCACCUCCAACGCCCAUUGAAAGCACCACAUGCUCCAGCUUCAGGUCCUCUCCCCAGCACCGCCCUGUCUGUGACCUUGAGUGCUCCCAUACUGACAGAUUGGCACAUCUCACUGUCACUUGUCUCCUAGGCUUGGAAAGCUCUUUUGCCUUAGGACUGAAGAAAUUGCAGUUUAGGCUUCAACAAGAAAAGGAGAGACAUACAAAAUACAAAAGCAGAGGGAGAGAAACUUAAUUAAGUAUGUUGAAAUAGCAAAGAGAACUAUAACACAAGUUUUCAAUAAAUGACGUUUACAUUUCUCUCUGGA